UACGUAGGGAGCAAGCGUUGUCCGGAAUUACUGGGCGUAAAGGGUGCGUAGGCGGCGCAGUUAGUCAGAAGUGAAAUAUCGGGGCUUAACCCCGGGGCUGCUUCUGAUACUGCUGUGCUCGAGUGCAGGAGAGGUAAGUGGAAUUCCUAGUGUAGCGGUGAAAUGCGUAGAUAUAUGGAAGAACACCAGUGGCGAAGGCGGCCGCCUGGCCUGUUACUGACGCUGAGGCACGAAAGCGUGGGGAGCAAAUAGG
RNAcentral lists this ribosomal RNA (253 nucleotides) under uncultured Eubacteriales bacterium. Its description in RNAcentral is "uncultured Clostridiales bacterium partial 16S ribosomal RNA". It matches the Rfam family "Bacterial small subunit ribosomal RNA", at positions 524 to 776 of the family's 1533-position model. The record is from RNAcentral. Lineage: Bacteria; Bacillati; Bacillota; Clostridia; Eubacteriales.